GAUGAACGCUGGCGGCGUGCCUAAUACAUGCAAGUCGAGCGAACAGACGAGGAGCUUGCUCCUCUGACGUUAGCGGCGGACGGGUGAGUAACACGUGGAUAACCUACCUAUAAGACUGGGAUAACUUCGGGAAACCGGAGCUAAUACCGGAUAAUAUAUUGAACCGCAUGGUUCAAUAGUGAAAGACGGUUUUGCUGUCACUUAUAGAUGGAUCCGCGCCGCAUUAGCUAGUUGGUAAGGUAACGGCUUACCAAGGCAACGAUGCGUAGCCGGCCUGAGAGGGUGAUCGGCCACACUGGAACUGAGACACGGUCCAGACUCCUACGGGAGGCAGCAGUAGGGAAUCUUCCGCAAUGGGCGAAAGCCUGACGGAGCAACGCCGCGUGAGUGAUGAAGGUCUUCGGAUCGUAAAACUCUGUUAUUAGGGAAGAACAAAUGUGUAAGUAACUAUGCACGUCUUGACGGUACCUAAGCAGAAAGCCACGGCUAACUACGU
RNAcentral lists this ribosomal RNA (496 nucleotides) under uncultured bacterium. RNAcentral describes it as "partial 16S ribosomal RNA". It matches the Rfam family "Bacterial small subunit ribosomal RNA", at positions 28 to 506 of the family's 1533-position model. The record is from RNAcentral.